This 2295-nucleotide long non-coding RNA is filed under the name Macaca fascicularis (crab-eating macaque). RNAcentral's name for it is "lncRNA (ENSMFAG00000050801.1)". The record is from RNAcentral. Lineage: Eukaryota; Metazoa; Chordata; Mammalia; Primates; Cercopithecidae.
UCCAAUCUCUGUUAUUCGGAGUGUGUGUUUCUUUUUGAGACUUAAUUUCCUUAUCCUUGAAAUGAGGUAAUAUACUUCCUUCAUAGGGUUGCUGGGAAGAUUAAACACAAGGUGAAAUAAAUAAAGCCCCAGGGACAUAAACAAAAAAUGAUGGCUUCUCACAGCAAUGCUCCAGAACAAACAACAAGGGAAUACUGGGCCCAGUCCCAGGACUGUCCACCUGUGAAUCCAACACCUUUUCACAUCAACUCCCAGGGUCACCAGGAAACACACCUUCAGGAAGCACCUUUUCUGUUCUAUCCCAGAGGGCACCAUCACAUACACUAUGAUAUGAAUCAUGACCCCUGGGGCUGUGUGGAGUUUCUGCAUCUCUCCCUCCCCACCGUGGCUACCCUCAUCCAGCAACCAUUCUGUCUCUCACCAGUAUUACCGCAGCUGAGACCCAAGUCUUAAGGAAGCUAAGAUCCAGGCCAGCAGGGGCCACACAGGAUUAUAGGAUCUGGCUCCCAUGAAGGCCUUCCACCUCCGCUGGCCUAAGCUGUCAGUGUCAGAGAGCGCUGGCCCUAACAGCUCCCUUACCAGAGCAGCUGUGAUUCCUUCUUCAUUUCCAGCAGGGACGACCCAAUAACUUUUACAGUAUGGGAUUUCUUUUUUCUUAUGAUAACAAUGUUCAUUGUGGAAAAAAAAAUGAUAAAAUAAAAAUCAGCUAGAAUUCCAACUUCUGGCAAUUUGGGUGUCUAUCUUUCUGCAAAGUUCCUAUACGCAUACUUUAUAAAAUUACGAACAUACUGCACAUACAGUUUUGGAAUAUGCCUUUUGCCUUCUGUCAUGAAAAAAGUCUUCAAAUGCCUUUUAACAGCUACACAAUAGUUCACUACAUGAAUCAACUCAAAUGUAACUAUUUUUGGCCUUUUAUUAUAAAUAACACAGAGAACCCUCAGUCUUUUUUACAUAAUGUCCUAACAGAGUAGGGAAAAUGCUCCUCAAUCCGGUGCAAUGUCCUGUGCCCAGGGAAACACAUUUUUUCUUUUCUUUUUUUUUUAAAGACGGAGUUUCGCUCUUGUCACCCAGGCUGGAGUGCAGUGGCACAAUCUCGGCUCACUGCAACCUCUGCCUCCUGGGUUCAAGCGAUUCUCCUGCCUCAGCCUCCUGAACAGUGGGGACUACAGGUGUGCACCACCACGCCCGGCUAAUUUUUGUACUUUUAGUAGAGACGAGGUCUCACUAUGUAGGCCAGGCUGGUCCAUCUUCUUAGUUGGUGGGAACAGGGACAUCUACACUCCCAAACACCUUGCCCUUAAGUGUAUAGCACAGUUUAUUGUCGUUUUCUUCUGAGAAAUGGAGAUUGUUGCACUUUCCCCAAAUUUACCUUCAUUCUCAGCCUCUCCUUGUCAUUGUAAUCCCAGAAAAGAUACAAUGGGGAAAAAGGGGAGAAAGAAGGGGGGAUGUAAUUUGAUGCUACAUUCUGAAACAAUACACAUAUUGGAGACACAUGAAUAUUCUUUAGCAAUAUUUUUAUUAAAUGAUAAAUUGCCAGGCAGGCAAGAGGUCCAGGAUCAAGCCCUGGUCUCAGUAUGCCAGAGUCUAAGGUGACUAUGUUUGGUUUCUGCAGGGGCCUGCCAUGGAGGCAGGCAAGGGAGGGAGGAGUCAGUGGUUCUAAUCAUUGGAGGGUGUUGGGGGUGGAGUCAGGGUAACCCAUCUGUAGUAGGCCUGGAGAACAAACCUGGCAGCUGGGGCAUGACUGGGAAAGCACUUGAGGACCUGGGUGGGGGAUGACAUUCGUUUGCACUGGUGCUGGGAGGGUGGUCUGCCCCCUGUGAGUGGUGCUCAGGUUUAAAGCUCCUCCUUGGGGCCACUGCCAUCACCAUGUCUCUGGUUUCUUGCUUGGCCUGGAAAAAAGAAAUCGAACCAGAGAGAGAGAAGGGCACAGCAAAAGAGACAACGAGGAGAACAGUGUAAGUGAGAAAAAGGAGACAGAGGGUAAAAUAAGUCAAGGCAGGGAGGCAGGUGCUUUGACAAGUGGAAUCUUUUUGGUAGACAUUUAAGCAGCAAGAGGCACUUUUGGUCCUGGACAAGCUUAUUACACAUCCACAGUUGAUGAGCUCUCAAGGGCCAAUGACAAGUAUUCAGAUAUCCAGUGGAUCAGGGAAAUGGCGUUUGCCAACUCUACUGACUACAGACCCUGCCUCUAAACUGAUUUGGUGCCCUCUUUCUGCAAAUCAAUUUCUCAAACUUUCUGGGAGCCAGUUAUUUCUCAGUGGAGCAGACAACGAUGAACCAGUGCUAGGGAACAGG